RNAcentral lists this long non-coding RNA (1629 nucleotides) under Arachis ipaensis. RNAcentral describes it as "long non-coding RNA (AIPA_LNC000430)". Lineage: Eukaryota; Viridiplantae; Streptophyta; Magnoliopsida; Fabales; Fabaceae. The record is from RNAcentral.
AAUAAUUAAACAUACUUAUUAUUAUGCUUAUAUAGCUAUUAUAAUCAUCAUAAUCAUAAGCACUUGCCAUAAACUUCAGCUAACGAUCAGACAACAACAACCUAGUGGAGUAGGAGUAGUAACACAAUGUCCUAUAACAUAGUACAUGUCUUGACAGUACUUAUAGCAAGCAUCAUCUUUUAGGUGCUGAGGAUCUGGACAAAAUAAUUUACUUGCUUCAUCAAAGCACUGCAUACUCUCCUUCUCAUACAUUGUUCUUGCUGCCAUUGUGCAAAUUGUUGCUUCUGCAAUAUUCAAUACACAUUGUGGUCAUUAGAAUUUGUAUGUGCAAAAAAUAUAUAACUUCUUUGAAAAUAAAUAUAUUUGUGAAAAAAUUAUAAUAUAAAGACAAAAUUGGUUUUUACUUCCAUAGGGCAUUUUUUUUCCUUUUUCUUCAGAAAAGUAUAAUAAAUAAAUGCCCUUAAUAUCUAUCCAAAAUUUUAAUUUUGUUCUUAAAUUUUAAAAGAUUUUAAUUUUUUUCUACGAUGUUUUUUUACCACGACAAACUAGGGACUAAUAUGUUACAAAUUAUAACUCCGUUUAAAGGUUUAUCGUUAACCAAUGAGUAGUUACAUGCACAAAAUAAAAUUUAAACAUAUAACACUUUUUUAAGCAGAUAAGUAAACUAACCACUUGACCAACCUAAGUACGAGAGUAUGCAUAUCGAAUCCGAUUGGAUAUGACCAAAAUCUCUAUCCAAUACACCCUAAAAUCAUCAGAUUGGAUUUAAUAUGUGUUUCAAAUCGGAUCUAGUAUAUUUUUUGAGAAAUACAUAUUUAAUGUUAGUUUUUUUGUAAGAUUCUCUAACAUUAAAUAUGUAUUUUUCAUACAUUAGAGAUUGAAUUUUGAUACAAUCUUUUGCAAGCAUAAUUAAAAAAAUGAGAUAUUAUUAUCCUUAAAAUUUGGUAAUUUUUCGUUAAGUAUAUUUUUUUGUAAUUUUUUUGUUAACAACUAAUAAUACUUUUAAAAAAUUACAAAAAAAAUAUAUACUUAUAAAAAAAUUACCAAAUUUUAAGAAUAAUAAUAUCUCUUUUUUUAAUUAUGCUUAAAAAAAUCACAUCAAAAUUUAAUAUCUAAGAUAAUUUUUAAAAAUAUAUAUUUACUUUUAGUAAUUUUUGUUGCGUUUUUAAAUUAUUUAAAGAAUUUUUGUCAAAAGUCACCAAAAAAAAAGAGAAUUUUUGUCAAUAAUAAAAUUUAUGUGUAUUUUUAUCAGCAUUUAAGUAAUUCGAAGAUAUUUUUUGUGGUUAACCUGUAUGGCUGUAUAUAUAUAUUGGCUCGGCCUUCUUAGAGAGCCUUCUUGCAAGAAAAUCCAAUAAUAAUUUAUCAAUUCACAUAUUUGUUGUAUUCGUUCUGUUUCAAAAUAACCGUGGUUUUAUUUUUUUUAAAUACAUUAAAAAAUUUAAUAAAUUUAGACCUAUUUGUAUUAGACACACUAUUUUUUAAUAUAUAAAAAAAGUCAAAGAAAUCAUUAUUUUAAAAUGGAUGGGGAAAUAUUUUUGCUUACCUGAAGCCAAAAGCAGAGCAACAAGAAGAUUGCAUAAGAAGAUUUUUGUAUAACCAUUGAUAGCCAUUGUAGAAAAGUUUGUUUUG